RNAcentral lists this transfer RNA (68 nucleotides) under Rhodobacterales bacterium LSUCC0031. RNAcentral's name for it is "tRNA-Pro". Lineage: Bacteria; Pseudomonadati; Pseudomonadota; Alphaproteobacteria; Rhodobacterales. The record is from RNAcentral.
UGGAGUAUGCUGAUAAGGCUGUCUUCGGGAGGCAGGGGUCGGAGGUUCGAAUCCUCUCACUCCGACCA